UUACGCUCCGCCUCAACCGUAGCCUCCUCAUGAGAGCGAGCGGGUAGGAAUACGCUCCGCUGCCGACGUCGCCUCCUCGCACCAUCGCCGCCUUGCACCGACUCCCAGGUCGCCGGCGGCUCGCACUGGCGCUCAAAUCGCCGUCGGCUCGCACCGACGCCCAGGUUGCGCCGGUUCCUCCCCACCUGCCUCGAUCCCACUGUCCUGACCUAGAGGACAGGCGGCGCCUGUGUUGGAGACUUCGGCCCCAAUGGCGGCGAGGAGUACGGCGCACCUCCAUGAGGACACCUCGUUGCUGCCGCUCGGCGUAGACCGGCACACGUCCCCCUCCUAAAGAUGGAUAUGGAUUAAUUCAUUUCAUGGCAGAUGCCGGUUUUGACCAUGGUUGAUCAUGCUUUGUUCCGUGUUUGACCUGCAACAUAUUUUCUAUGCAUUCGUAGAAAUGGUGACUGAAUAAUUACUAUGUACUGUAGAACAUCUUGCUUAAUACCUGAGUCCCCGACCCUCGUUGCUACAGGUUUAUCUGCCCAAUCACAUGAAUUGAUUUUUUUUCACUCAAAAAGGUUAGAAAUCAACUGCUUUGCAUACACAAUUAAAUAGUGAAUAUCACGUUUAAUUAGCAAAAUUUAAUAGUUCAUACACAAUUAGGAAGUUGCAUGAAGAUUGCAUUAUUCUUUUAGAACAUGUUCUAUUGUAAAGAGAUUGUCAGAGGCAUACCAACACAAUGCCCUGUUUAGUGAAGCUACAAAACCCACUAUCAUAACUGAUAAUUCCGUGUUUUAUUGCCUGGAAUAUUUAUUCUGUUUCGGUGCUGACUAUAUAAUUGGCCCUUUGCUGGUCGAUAUGGUUCCCUUUGAAUGGCAUGAAGGAGGAGGAAUAAGGGUUGCUUCUCACUCCCUUUUGGUCUGUGCUGGCGUGGACGGAGGGUGACCCAGGCUGUUCGACCAAAGGUGGCCAGCGAGCCUCUUGGUCUAUGCAUGUAAAAUUUCUCACUCCCUUUUCUCUUUUCGCGACUUCUUCUGGGGCCUGCCGAAUUGGUUUGCUUGGUGCAGUUGGGAAAAUAAGAUGACCUGGUGAGGUGAGAAAAAGACAUACAAUGGGGGCCUGCCGAAUUGGUGGAGUUGAAGCAUGUGCCCUGCUUACACCAUCUUAGGAACAUGGUAGAGGAAGGUGUUGAUUAAUACACCGUCUCGGUGAACUAGCGAAGGGCUUGCCGGCUUGGUAACAUAGCAGAUGUUCAGAUGGCACAACCGACCAGCACCGGCACCGGUGACGUGGACGGACGAACCUGCGACUAGACAAAAGUAACGGCCACGCACAACGAGAUUAUCCGGUGAGUCUCCUUUUGGUUUGUACUAUGCAACACACAUAAUCCAGUGACUCAUCAACUCUGGCGAGUCUCCUUUAAUUUCUUCUUUAAUUCUCUAGUGAGCCAUGCAACUGAUCCGUACCGUACUACAGUAUUAGCUGCAGAAAUUCUUGAGUUAGAUGGAAUCCAUACUACAGUAUCAGGCUGGAGUUUUUUAGUUAUAUAGAAUUAAUUAGGGGCGACAAUUUGUUGUUUAUCCUCACAAAUAUGUACUAUAAAUUAGGCAUGACAAAAUCACUCUCUUGUUUGGAUUUAAUUUGCAACGAUCUGUCUGCUUGUGUUUGUGUAGUCAUUAAGAGGAAGUCAAUGCUUUCUUUUUUGAAUUAAAAAUAGCAAUGUUAAUUUGUUUC
Long non-coding RNA from Aegilops tauschii subsp. strangulata, 1719 nucleotides. RefSeq lists it as uncharacterized. The record is from RefSeq and is a predicted model, not a curated record. Lineage: Eukaryota; Viridiplantae; Streptophyta; Magnoliopsida; Poales; Poaceae.